RNAcentral lists this unclassified non-coding RNA (195 nucleotides) under plant metagenome. RNAcentral describes it as "partial contains small subunit ribosomal RNA, internal transcribed spacer 1, and 5.8S ribosomal RNA". The record is from RNAcentral.
UCUCCGUUGGCGAACCAGCGGAGGGAUCAUUACCGAGUUUACAACUCCCAAACCCCUGUGAACAUACCAUUUGUUGCCUCGGCGGUGCCUGCUUCGGCAGCCCGCCAGAGGACCCAAACCCUUGAUUUUAUACAGUAUCUUCUGAGUAAAUGAUCAAAUAAAUCAAAACUUUCAACAACGGAUCUCUUGGUUCUG